This 476-nucleotide ribosomal RNA is filed under the name Neisseria animaloris. RNAcentral's name for it is "bacterial SSU rRNA". It matches the Rfam family "Bacterial small subunit ribosomal RNA", at positions 9 to 474 of the family's 1533-position model. The record is from RNAcentral. Lineage: Bacteria; Pseudomonadati; Pseudomonadota; Betaproteobacteria; Neisseriales; Neisseriaceae.
GAGUUUGAUUCUGGCUCAGAUUGAACGCUGGCGGCAUGCUUUACACAUGCAAGUCGAACGGCAGCACGGAAGAGCUUGCUCUUUUGGUGGCGAGUGGCGAACGGGUGAGUAAUACAUCGGAACGUACCGAGUAGUGGGGGAUAACUGUCCGAAAGGAUGGCUAAUACCGCAUAUUCUCUGAGGAGGAAAGCAGGGGACCUUCGGGCCUUGCGCUAUUUGAGCGGCCGAUGUCUGAUUAGCUAGUUGGUGGGGUAAAGGCCUACCAAGGCGACGAUCAGUAGCGGGUCUGAGAGGAUGAUCCGCCACACUGGGACUGAGACACGGCCCAGACUCCUACGGGAGGCAGCAGUGGGGAAUUUUGGACAAUGGGGGGAACCCUGAUCCAGCCAUGCCGCGUGUCUGAAGAAGGCCUUCGGGUUGUAAAGGACUUUUGUCAGGGAAGAAAAGCUUGAGGUUAAUACCCUUGGGUGAUGACG